CCUGUGUCACACUGCUCCUCAUAAUCAUUGUGAAAUGUAUGUACAGAUAAUAUGUAAGGAAUUAUGUCUAUAUACUGAAAAUGAUGUUCUUAAGGUCUGUGACUUGGGGCUGGUCACCAAAAGGUGAGAAACAGGUUUCUUUCAGGCAAGAUGUGUUUAUCAGUUUAGCUGCAUGUUC
Molecule: long non-coding RNA, 178 nt
Organism: Dermochelys coriacea (leatherback sea turtle)
Lineage: Eukaryota; Metazoa; Chordata; Testudines; Dermochelyidae
Exons: 3
Source: RefSeq, a predicted model, not a curated record